RNAcentral lists this ribosomal RNA (301 nucleotides) under uncultured bacterium. RNAcentral's name for it is "partial 16S ribosomal RNA". It matches the Rfam family "Bacterial small subunit ribosomal RNA", at positions 509 to 807 of the family's 1533-position model. The record is from RNAcentral.
CAGCAGCCACGGGAAUACGUAGGGGGCUAGCGUUGUUCGGAAUUACUGGGCGUAAAGCGCACGUAGGCGGAUAUUUAAGUCAGGGGUGAAAUCCCGCAGCUCAACUGCGGAACUGCCUUUGAUACUGGGUAUCUUGAGUAUGGAAGAGGUUAGUGGAAUUGCGAGUGUAGAGGUGAAAUUCGUAGAUAUUCGCAGGAACACCAGUGGCGAAGGCGGCUAACUGGUCCAUAACUGACGCUGAGGUGCGAAAGCGUGGGGAGCAAACAGGAUUAGAUACCCCCGUAGUCCCUGUCUCUUAUAC